Long non-coding RNA from Anolis carolinensis (green anole), 441 nucleotides. RefSeq lists it as uncharacterized. The transcript is spliced from 3 exons. NCBI's taxonomy places the organism in Eukaryota, Metazoa, Chordata, Lepidosauria, Squamata, Anolidae. The record is from RefSeq and is a predicted model, not a curated record.
UGCAGAAACUUUCUCUAACGGCCCAACUUGAGUUCCUGAUCAACCUUUGACAAUGCAGACCAGCUGGCUUUCUAUCCUUGUCCUUUCAGGAAUGAUCUUACUUUGUGUAGGAGAAAAAUUCUCAGAUACAUCAUGUCGUGUCAAGGGUGCAGCAUGUAUGAAGAAGAAGCUGUGUGGUGACUGGAAAGAUCUUGGAAAAUGUGGGCUUACAGAAAGGUGCUGUAAACCUGGUGGUGGCGGCGGCGGCGGAGAAGAAUGAAGGAAAAUGAAUAUGCUUCUUUGCACACCGGUUGCGACCUUUGUGAACGCCUGUCAUUUGAAACCCAAAGGAAAUGUAUCGCUGGUGUAUUGAGCUUAAACCUCACGAAUCAACCAAUCAAGACAUUCUUCUCCUUUAUAAGAUUGGAAAUGAUUUGAAUAAAUACCUGAUUGAUUGCAAGA